This is a small nucleolar RNA of Suricata suricatta (meerkat), 77 nucleotides long. Ensembl annotates it as small nucleolar RNA, C/D box 112. The record is from Ensembl. NCBI's taxonomy places the organism in Eukaryota, Metazoa, Chordata, Mammalia, Carnivora, Herpestidae.
UGGACCAGUGAAGACAAAGUGUUUAUGAACAAAGAAUGGUGAUUAGUCCAGUUCUGCGCACAAUCCUGAGGUCCAUU